AAUCAAGCGGUAUCUUUAUCUAUUGCAAGCUUAAUAUCCUGAUUGACAGCUGCUGUCUUGCUGAGAAGGGGGAGCUGCUAAUUCCUGCUGAAUUCAGUGCUCAGCAGGGGCUAAGAGUGGCUGUCUCUAGCAGAAACUGGAGAGCUGCUUCCCCAGCAGGAAGCAGAGAAGGGCCCCUGCUGAGGGCAGAACAAAGGCCAGAAGCCCCUGCCGUUCAGCCUCACAGCUGUUCUGCAGGAUCUUGCCUCCAGGGAGCCAACUCUUGGAUGUUAAGUAGCAGCCUAGUCACGGUGCACGCAGGAACACAGCGGAUCGCCCUCUCUGAGCUCCUUAUGCUGAAUAUUGGAAAAGCCCACUAGAGAAACUGCGAAAGAAUGCAAAUAACUUCAGGAUUAGUACACACAGAAAAGCUGUGCAGCUACUUCAUGGUUCAAGUACAUGACCAAAUCAGCUACAAGUAUAAAUUCAGAAGUUGCUCAAGGGAAAUUACUCUGGAAAUGAGCUAAGUGAAAUCUAAGUGCAACUCAACAUAUGGAGGAAGUGGCAGACUCGGACCCUCUGAGGACGAAAGGCAGGCAGACUCCAGACAACAAGCUCUUCUGGGACAAGGACACUGAUUAGGGACUGCAAUGGAGGUUCCCUCCAACUUUCAAAUUACUCUCCCACAUCCAUGCUUCAGUAAGAUCUUAAAAGAAGAAAACCAAACAGCCAGAAGUAUUGAUUGCUAAUUAAAACACCGACAGCUGUGCUGGAAUUGCUCAUUUGGAUAAGAUUUUUUUAACAUUGCUUUUAAAGCCUCACAAUAAGGUAACCACAAACGCCUAAUACUAUAAAUGACAGCACCUGUUCUCAUGCCCCAUUGCUGACCUCAAAGUCAGAAGACUAAGCUGCAAACUAAGUAAAGGGGCUGGGUUCUUUUUCUCUGCAUCUACAAAUAAUUCAAUAGGAUCUCUGAAGAACAUUAUGAAAAAUAUAAUGUAAAUCAUCUAUGGAACAUUCCAACUUCCAGCAACUCCCCUGCUUUUUCCCUCCCAAAACAAUAACAAAUAAUGUUUUGUUAUUGAAUGAAUCUAUCCCCAGAACAAAAUAUGAAUGAAUGUCAAUAAAUUUAAGUGAGAACAACA
Long non-coding RNA from Anas platyrhynchos (mallard), 1124 nucleotides. RefSeq lists it as uncharacterized. The record is from RefSeq and is a predicted model, not a curated record. NCBI's taxonomy places the organism in Eukaryota, Metazoa, Chordata, Aves, Anseriformes, Anatidae.